ACGCACGCUGGCGGCGUGCCUCAUACAUGCACGUUGAGCGCUGAAGGUUGGUACUUGUACCGACUGGAUGAGCAGCGAACGGGUGAGUAACGCGUGGGGAAUCUGCCUUUGAGCGGGGGACAACAUUUGGAAACGAAUGCUAAUACCGCAUAAAAACUUUAAACACAAGUUUUAAGUUUGAAAGAUGCAAUUGCAUCACUCAAAGAUGAUCCCGCGUUGUAUUAGCUAGUUGGUGAGGUAAAGGCUCACCAAGGCGAUGAUACAUAGCCGACCUGAGAGGGUGAUCGGCCACAUUGGGACUGAGACACGGCCCAAACUCCUACGGGAGGCAGCAGUAGGGAAUCUUCGGCAAUGGACGAAAGUCUGACCGAGCAACGCCGCGUGAGUGAAGAAGGGUUUCGGAUCGUAAAACUCUGUUGGUAGAGAAGAACGUUGGUGAGAGUGGAAAGCUCAUCAAGUGACGGUAACUACCCAGAAAGGGACGGCUAACUACGUG
This 496-nucleotide ribosomal RNA is filed under the name uncultured bacterium. RNAcentral's name for it is "partial 16S ribosomal RNA". It matches the Rfam family "Bacterial small subunit ribosomal RNA", at positions 29 to 507 of the family's 1533-position model. The record is from RNAcentral.